GAUGAACGCUGGCGGCGUGCCUAAUACAUGCAAGUCGAGCGAACGGACGAGAAGCUUGCUUCUCUGAUGUUAGCGGCGGACGGGUGAGUAACACGUGGAUAACCUACCUAUAAGACUGGGAUAACUUCGGGAAACCGGAGCUAAUACCGGAUAAUAUUUUGAACCGCAUGGUUCAAAAGUGAAAGACGGUCUUGCUGUCACUUAUAGAUGGAUCCGCGCUGCAUUAGCUAGUUGGUAAGGUAACGGCUUACCAAGGCAACGAUGCAUAGCCGACCUGCGAGGGUGAUCGGCCACACUGGAGCUGAGACACGGUCCAGACGCCUACGGGAGGCAGCAGUAGGGAAUCUUCCGCAAUGGGCGAAAGCCUGACGGAGCAACGCCGCGUGAGUGAUGAAGGUCUUCGGAUCGUAAAACUCUGUUAUGAGGGAAGAACAUAUGUGUAAGUAACUGUGCACAUCUUGACGGUACCUAAUCAGAAAGCCACGGCUAACUACGUG
Molecule: ribosomal RNA, 497 nt
Filed under: uncultured bacterium
Lineage: Bacteria
Description: partial 16S ribosomal RNA
Rfam family: Bacterial small subunit ribosomal RNA
Source: RNAcentral